Molecule: long non-coding RNA, 5923 nt
Filed under: Solanum tuberosum (potato)
Lineage: Eukaryota; Viridiplantae; Streptophyta; Magnoliopsida; Solanales; Solanaceae
Description: long non-coding RNA (STUB_LNC009548)
Source: RNAcentral
UGAAGAAAACUAUGAUUGGUGUAUAUAACAACAACAAAAAUAUCUAAAUAUAAUUUUACAAGUGAUAUUUGAAUAGAGACAUUCAUUCUUUCAAUGAAGUUAUAGGUGAAAUUAGUUUGUAUGAGAAGACAUAACUGUAAAUCUGAUGAUACCUUAGUGAUUUGUCUUUAUUGUAUGAAUGUAAUUGAGAAGAUGUACUCAUCAGUGGCUGUGCUAUUGAGAAAGUUUAUACUUGGGAGGCCUAUGCUUUAGUUAUUAUCUAUGUACCCCAUGUUUUUUCUUUUUGACAAAUAUGAUGGCUGGGGCUGGUAUGUAUCUCGAUUAAUUUCAUGAAAUACGUGCCAUCUCCUGCGAAUACAUCUACCUUCAAUUUUCAUCGCACAACCACCACAAUUCACCUGCAUUGCCAGUUACCUCUAAUCAUUAUUCAUUACAAACAUCACCAAUCACCUUUACCAGAAUCAAUUUAGAUAGUCCUUGGUGGUUACGGUGGCGACUACAUCAACGUAUUAUUGCUUCAAGAGAAACUCCCAUCAAAGUUCACUAUGAUUCUUUAGGUACUUGUUAUGAGAAUUAAGUAUGAACAAGGUUUGGUUUUGGGUAAUUGUCUAGGUUUUGUGACUUCAAAAAAAGUUGUGGGUGGCAUUUUUGGGUGAAGAUUAUUGCUAAGUGAUGAGUUGGGAUCUAUAAAGAGAAGAAGUACUAUGGGGGGUUGCUAUGGAAAAUAAGGAUAUCAAGAAAUAAACUAAGAAAAUGGAAGAAGUCAGCCAUUGAUGAUGAGCUUUGACUAUCAUCAGCUGACUAAUAUACUGUAGAUUUUGAGUAAAGAACAAAUUAUUAUGACAAUGAAGUCAUUUUCUGGUUUCAAACAUUCAGCUGUAGUAAAAGAAGGAUUUUAGAAGUUUCUUAGCUUAUUGAAGUGUAAUUUAUGAUAUUUUAUGCAUCAGGUUAUUGACUACAAGUUUCACUAUCUCUUGCAUAUACCAUUAUUUUGAAAAUCGAAAGGAAAAGUCAGAAAGCAGAACUAAGACUCACAUUGAUGUGGCGGUCAUUUCAAAUUAAAUGGUAACAAAGGAAUUGUUACAUCCCUAAACUUUCCAAGCUAAGGCCUAAACCAUUCUUCAUUAUGCAAAAAUGUCAUAUCGAGUGAUUCUUAGGUGAUUAGUUGAAUUAUUUAGUUUGUGAAUGAAUUUUGAUAUGAAUUAAGAUCACUAGAAUCCCCUAACACAAAGUUGAGUGGAAAGUUUCCUUAUCGAGUAAGUUUUGAUGUAAGAUUCUACUUAGAUCAACUUUAAAUGAUCAUAUCUCUCAGCAUAUAAUGAAUUAAAUGGUUCAUGACCUAUCAAAUUAAAGGUUUAUGAGUAGUCUUUUCAACGCCAUCAAGUUUGUCUCAUUUUGAAUUUGAAGUAAAAAGUUAUGGCCGCCUUACCAGAGACUGCCACAACAAAGUUUUCUGAAGCGGUGAACUAUGAAACCCUUCUACGGGUCGUUAUACUGUCAAGUCGUGGAAGAACUUCAGAGAGUCAAAUUUGGGGGUCCAAUUCCUACAGACCCAUCUACGGGUUGUAGAACCUUCCACGGGCCGUAGUUUGGACCCGUAGAAUGAGCUUUUGAGCCUUAAAAUUCAAUAUAAAUUCUAUGGAUGGGAUCUAUGGUCCAUAGAAACUUCUGUGAGUCGUAGUUUGGAUCUGUAGGAUAAAAUUUAAUAUAAAUUCCACUGAUGGUAGCUACGGUCCGUAAUCCUCAUUCUCAGCUCCUGACCAUAAGCCUAUGCGCCUGCCUCAUGUUCGAUAUAGUAAUCGAAUGCUAUGCUGAACAAGAUCCACACAAUCCUUAAACCUCAUACUCCACCUUUUCUUACCAAUCUCACUACACACAAGACAAAUAAAUUCCCCACCACUCUCACUGUUCUCCGCAUAAUACUCUCUCAAUCCACUAUCUCUCUCAAACAAACAACUUCGUGAAAAAGUUUAAAAUUUUCUCACCAUUUUCCACUUCCAUAACAUCAUCAUCCUAUUCUCAUACAUAUCCUCCUCCUCAUCAUCAAUAGAGUACUUCAAAUACUCUGAUACCGCCUUCAACGUCUGUUCCUGAGCCCGCUUCCUAGUAACACUAGCCAAUUCUUCAGCAGGUGGCAAAUGGGGAUGCGAAUUAGGGUGUGCAGUGAAACUGGGCCAGUCAAAUUUCGUGAUCGAAGCCGAUUCAGCAGGAGUUGGACAAAUCCAUUCAACAUCAAAAUCUAUUAUAGCUUCCUUCAACCUUUUCGAUUUUUGCUUAUUUCGUUUCUAGAACUGAGUAGAAUCGGAGGGUUGUAGACUCAAUGGGGUUUGGGGAUGGAGAUUGGCGUGGACAUGGAGUGGAGUUGGUGGGGGGGACCUUGAUGCCAUAAAGAGUGGAGGUAGCGAACUUCUUAUAUUAGUCUCUGCUCAUCAUAACGAUUCAUUGGAAAACGUGACAUUUUUGAACUAUUUGAGCAAAAGGGUUUUCGUUUGAUACUGUAAAAAUAUCGGAGAAUCGUCGAAAACUGAAGGGUUUGGAGCAAAAUCUCCAAUUUCAAUGAAAAAAUAGGUUCUUCAAAGCAUAAAUCGAGAACUGAAAAGGAGGAUUUUGGGUUGGUGGUAAUUAAAUAAACAAAGAGUGGUUAAGAAAGAAAAAAAGGAAAACAAUUUAGGUCCAAGCUUGACUUUUUUUUUUGGUUUCCACCUGUUGUUCGGAGAGCCCCAACUAAAUUCGAAUCUGUCCAAAUUUAUUCGGCUCUAAUGCGGACUCCGAACAAUGGGUGUAAACCAAGAAAAUUUAAAUAAAAAUAUAUAUAAUAUUUUUUUCAAAGAAAAAAGAUUAAAAGAAAUAUUAAGGCCUGCUUUAAGGUUUGACUUUAGCCCCUAAUAUGUAAUUAUAUGUAUGUCAAAAUUACUAUUUCAUUAAUUAUAAGACGACUAAGGAUAAUAUAUUAACCAAUAGAUAUUUUAAAUAAAAUUUAGCCCAAAUUUUGUUUAAAGUUGAAACCAUAUAAAUACAAUUGAAAUUGAAGGAAUAUUCAAUAUUUUUGAAAAAUCGAAUCUGGAAAACAGAGCAGCCCGAAAUCCUUCUCAGUUCCCGUCAAGAAACCAUUUUUCUUCACCGGAAUCGAGAUUUCGCUCCAAACCCUUCAUUUUCCGGCAAUUCCCUGGCAUUUUUACAGUAGCUACCCAAAGCUCUUCUGCUCAAGUUGUAAAAAAUGUCACGUUUUCCAAUGAAUCCUUACGAUGAGCAGAGAUUAAUAGAAGAAGUUCGAUACCUCCAUUCUUUAUGGCAUCAAGGUCCCCCUCACCCCCAUGUCCACCCCAAUCUCCACCCCCAAACCCCAGUGAGUCUACAACCCUCCGGUUCUACUCAGUUUAAGAAACAAAAUAAGCAGAAAUCCAAAAGGCUGAAGGAAGCUUUAAUAGAUUCUGGUGUUGGAUGGGUUUUUCCAAUUCCUGCUGAAUCAUCUCCAGUCACUGAUUCCGGCUGGCCCAGUUUCACUGCACAACCAAGUUUGCAACCCCAGUUGCCCACUGCUGAAGAAUUGGCUAGUGUUGCUGGGAACCGGGCUCAGCAACAGGGGUUGAAGGCGGUAUCGGAGUAUUUGAAGUACUCAGUUGAUGAUGAUGAGGAGGAGAUGUAUGAUGAUGAUGAUGAUAUGGAAGUGGAAAAGGAGGAGAAAAAAAUGAACUUUUUCGCCAAGUUGUUUGAGGAGGAUGGUGGGUUGAGAGAGUAUUAUGAGAAGAACAAUGAGAGCGGUGGGGAAUUUAUUUGUCUUGUGUGUAGUGGGGUUGGUAAGAAAGGGUGGAGUAAGAGGUUUAAGGAUUGUGUGGGUCUUGUUCAGCAUUCGAUUACUAUAUCGAACAUGAGGCAGGCACAUAGGGCUUAUGGUCAGGUCAUUUGUCGAAUUCUUGGAUGGGAUAUUAAUAGGCUUCCAUCCAUUGUUUUGUCUGCAGGUGGUAAGCCUAGUGAAUCUUCUGAUAAACCGGUGGAGGCUCAGGUAAUUUACUGUUAUUUCAUUGGAUUUAUCAAGGCAUUGUCGUUAUUGUUAAGUUUGUGUUAUGUAUUAUAGAGAUUAGUAUGAAAUGUGCCCCGAAAGAGUGGAACAGAUAGAGAAUUUAUAUUGUUGAUCUAGUUUGUUUGGGCAACUGAUUGAUUGCUUGUUUUGUCCAUCGAGAAUGAUGGAAAUUUUAAGAAAAAUACUUCAUCAUGAACACUGAUAUAGGGAAUUCUCAUAGCUUGAGGCGUGUCAAAAGACUGUCCUUGGGUGUAUAUAAAAUUAGGAGCACAGAAAUUGACAAGGACUCAAUUUGUGAAAAACCCAACACAAUCUACUAUAAGAAGAAGAAUUUUUCUUUUAAUAUAUUACCAAUAAGGGUUACCUCUCAUGUGUGGUUUGUGAGCUAUUGCAUAGGAACAAAGUUUCUACUCAAUGGGCACACAAAAGGUAGCGGCUGUGGUUUCCCCUGUCAUAAAAUAAAAUAAAAAUAUUACCAAUAAGAAAAAAGGCUCCAAUGGUCACAAAAUUACUCAUAAUCAGAAACCCAUUAGCCAGAAAGCCUUGUCUAUUAGACUUAAUGCCAAUAAAUUGGCUUCAAUGGUAAUAUCAUAUUAAUGACAAUAAUCAUAGAGGAAAACCAUGAAGGCAUAAGCUCAACCAUUCUAGUUUGCAUUGGUUUAGCCAAGCAAAGAAAAAUACUGUCUGUUCAAGUAUUGCUGUCCCAUAAAUUGUAUGUCUUGAUUUUUUGAAAAUAUGCAAAUACCAAGAAUCAAACAGGAAGUUGAGAGAGAAUAGGGGAAAGCCCUAGGAAGUACAUGAGAUAGAACCAGAAUAUAUUUCAUGAAAUGAAGAGACAAAAAGAAUUCUGUCUAUUCUAGAAAAGUCAACUGUUUGUAUUCACACCAAGUAAUCAUAAACGGAAAUAGUAUUCUGUUCGACUAGGGUCUAUCUUCAGAUAUUAGGCUCCGAACUUCAGACUUCAAGUUUGGCCAAUUCGAAUGAUGGAUCCAAUAAAACAUUGCAGGGGAAUGAGGAUGCUGGUGGUAAAGAUUGUUUGAGUGGUCUAAGCAAUACAACAGAUGCUGUAAAUGUUGGCACUGAUGAAUUAUCUCAGCAAAAACAGUCUUUUAGUAAUGAAAACCAACAAGAAAAUGGUGGUGGCUCCACAGCAUUAGAGGUUAGUUUUAUGCAGUUUCUAUAUGCUUGGUCUUAUAAAGUAUUGGAUAAGAUUAUGUCAGUGGUAGCUGACUUGUAUUCUUUCUUUAGCACAACUCCGUAAUUGAAGCCAAUGUCAGCAAUGAGAUUCCUGAAACAGCAAAAGAGAACACAGAGGGUGCAUCCAAUUGUCCGGUAAGACUUUUGGUCGUUGAAAAGUGGUUCCAUGAAAACCUACUUCUAGGUUACUUACCUUAUUUAGUUUGUGUUUCUGAGAUCAAACUUUCUCGAAGAUCCACUGCUACCCCUCCUUUAUCUCUUCCUUUCUCCAAUGAAAAAUUCCACUUUCAUGUUCGUCUUAGACAUGGUGUGUCUUCUUUCAGUCCUUUUCUGGCUUCUGCUGUGGUAAGUGGUAACUCAUAAUUCUUCGGUGCUUAGUGAAGAAGCGUUUUUAGGGAAUUGGGGUUUUUGGGAAGGAUUCUUUGAAUGUUAGCGGAAAUGAAUACGAGUCUGAGGUUGUGGGUGAUGAGUUAGGAGCUGAGAAUGAGGAUGAACUUUCUGUUUCUCCGGCGUCUUCUCUGGUUGUCAAUCGUCAAUCGGAGUAAAAACCCUCGCAUUCCAACACAUAAUCUCACCAUUUUUACUUUUCUUUGAAAAACUAGAUCUCAACACAAAAACGAUUCAAGUUGAGGUGUAAAAGAACCAGAUCUGUAAGAAGACCUAGUUCUGGAACUAAUGACAAAAGAGGUACAAAUGACAUGGCGG